UACAGAGGGUGCGAGCGUUAAUCGGAAUUACUGGGCGUAAAGCGCGCGUAGGCGGCUUUGCAAGUCGGGUGUGAAAUCCCCAGGCUUAACCUGGGAACUGCAUUCGAGACUGCAUUGCUAGAGUAUGGGAGAGGGAAGUGGAAUUUCAGGUGUAGCGGUGAAAUGCGUAGAUAUCUGAAGGAACAUCAGUGGCGAAAGCGACUUCCUGGACCAAUACUGACGCUCAUGUGCGAAAGCGUGGGGAGCAAACAGGAUUAGAAACCCCAGUAGUCC
RNAcentral lists this ribosomal RNA (273 nucleotides) under uncultured bacterium. RNAcentral's name for it is "partial 16S ribosomal RNA". It matches the Rfam family "Bacterial small subunit ribosomal RNA", at positions 524 to 796 of the family's 1533-position model. The record is from RNAcentral.